This 254-nucleotide ribosomal RNA is filed under the name uncultured bacterium. Its description in RNAcentral is "partial 16S ribosomal RNA". It matches the Rfam family "Bacterial small subunit ribosomal RNA", at positions 524 to 776 of the family's 1533-position model. The record is from RNAcentral.
UACGUAGGGGCCUAGCGUUGUCCGGAUUUAUUGGGCGUAAAGAGCUCGUAGGCGGUUUGGUAAGUCGGGUGUGAAAUCUCCACGCUCAACGUGGAGGGGCCACUCGAUACUGCCAUGACUCGAGUCCGGUAGAGGAGUGUGGAAUUCCCGGUGUAGCGGUGAAAUGCGUAGAGAUGUGGAGGAAUACCGAUGGCGAAGGCAGCCCCCUGGGAUAACACUGACGCUCAUGCACGAAAGCGUGGGGAGCAAACAGG